RNAcentral lists this ribosomal RNA (589 nucleotides) under Pseudozyma hubeiensis. RNAcentral's name for it is "partial large subunit ribosomal RNA". It matches the Rfam family "Eukaryotic large subunit ribosomal RNA", at positions 78 to 650 of the family's 3401-position model. The record is from RNAcentral. Lineage: Eukaryota; Fungi; Basidiomycota; Ustilaginomycetes; Ustilaginales; Ustilaginaceae.
CCCUAGUACGGCGAGUGAGAGGGAAGAGCCCAAGAUUGAAAGCUGGCGCCUUCGGCGUCCGCAUUGUAAUCUCAAGAAGUGUUUUCCGCUUCGGACCAUGCCUAAGUCCCUUGGAAAAGGGCAUCAUAGAGGGUGAUAAUCCCGUACAUGGCAUGGAGCGCCCGAAGCUUUGUGAUACGCUUUCUAAGAGUCGAGUUGUUUGGGAAUGCAGCUCAAAAUGGGUGGUAAAUGCCAUCUAAGGCUAAAUAUUGGGGAGAGACCGAUAGCGAACAAGUACAGUGAUGGAAAGAUGAAAAGAACUUUGAAAAGAGAGUUAAACAGUACGUGAAAUUGCCAAAAGGGAAGGGUAGGAGGUCAGAGAUGCGUCGCAGGAUUCAGCCUUGCUUUUGCUUGGUGUUUUUCCUGCGUUGCAGGCCAACGUCGGUUUUGGGCACUGGAGAAGGGUAGGAGGAACGUGGCACCUCUCGGGGUGUGUUAUAGCCUCCUACUGGAUACAGCGACCGAGACCGAGGAACGCAGCGUACUCGUAAGAGCGGGCCUUUUGGCACCUUUACGCUUAGGGCGUUGGCAUAAUGGCCCUCUACCACCC